Molecule: ribosomal RNA, 253 nt
Filed under: uncultured bacterium
Lineage: Bacteria
Description: partial 16S ribosomal RNA
Rfam family: Bacterial small subunit ribosomal RNA
Source: RNAcentral
UACGGGGGGGGCAAGCGUUGUUCGGAAUUACUGGGCGUAAAGGGCUCGUAGGCGGCCAACUAAGUCGGAUGUGAAAUCCCCAGGCUUAACCUGGGAACUGCAUCCGAUACUGGAUGGCUUGAAUCCGGGAGAGGGAUGCGGAAUUCCAGGUGUAGCGGUGAAAUGCGUAGAUAUCUGGAGGAAUACCGGUGGCGAAGGCGGCUAUCUGGCCAAACAUUGACGCUGAGAGACGAAAGCGUGGGGAUCAAACAGG